Small nucleolar RNA from Heterocephalus glaber (naked mole-rat), 117 nucleotides. NCBI's taxonomy places the organism in Eukaryota, Metazoa, Chordata, Mammalia, Rodentia, Bathyergidae. The record is from Ensembl.
AGAAUCAGUAUUAAAAAAGUAAGAAAUGUUAAUGGACAGGUGCAAAAAUAAAAUCCUCUUUUGCAACCCAGAACUCAUUGCUCACUAUGAGUUUUGAUUCAUAUAAGAAGGAAUAUU